Long non-coding RNA from Hemicordylus capensis (graceful crag lizard), 2523 nucleotides. RefSeq lists it as uncharacterized. The transcript is spliced from 6 exons. The record is from RefSeq and is a predicted model, not a curated record. Lineage: Eukaryota; Metazoa; Chordata; Lepidosauria; Squamata; Cordylidae.
UGGCUCACCAUAGCAGGCACACACAGAGAGAUCAAGAACACACACACACACACACACACACAGAGCAGUCCUGGCUGUUCCUGACAGGAUGAAAGGUCAGAGUGCAGAAGAAAAUGAACACAUAACAACUCGCAUUCUUUAAUUCCUUUCUUCUCUGCAAGUCUGAAUCCCACUAACCUAACAAGCUACUGUUAUCGAUUUGGAAGCAAAGCAAAUGCAGCAACGGAACGAAAACUUUCUGGAAGCCUUAAACACACACACAGGACCCAGAGGCAAAAAGUCUAUAGAAUCUUUGGAAGAUAGCUAGAGGCUAGAGUUAGAAUUCUGGAGAUAACCCAAAGAGAGGCGGAAAAACAGCAACAACAAUCCACCUCUCAGUCCUCUUCCCUGAUUUAUAAAUGUUCCAAAUGUCUUUUAUUUAAGCACAGUAAAUUAGUUGUGCCCUCACAUAGAACUGAGCUGCCUGAUUCCCACCCACCCACUCAUGCCCACCACUUUUGUUGGAAUAGAAGAAACUCUGCUAAAGUCCUAUAUAAAGGGUAGGUUUAGAAGACCCACUGGAAGUAAGUUGCCAGGAACCAGUCAUUUCUGCUGUGGCUUCUGGCACAAGCCACAAAUUUGGCUUAUUUUGUGACAUUUGAAUCCAGAAAUUUUGGGUACCCUAGCAGCACCUUCCUCCUGCUACCUGACAUCUGCUACCUGACUUCACAUCUUGGCUACAGAAGCUGGGUGGAGAGAGAGAAAUGCUGCUUAGGAAUUUCCAGGUUGAGUGAAAUUUGUGACUUGCACCAAAAGUGUGUGCUUGUCAGGAACUGCCAGUUCUUACCAAUUUCCUUGCAGCAGGUCUUCUGAAUCCAUCCUAAGAAUGCUAGGAAUGCUAGGGCUGAAUGAAAGGCCCGUGUUAUUGACUCCUGUGUAAGGGUGUAUACGGACUGUGUGUGGUGGUUCACUCCAAAUUUAGACUGAACCGCUGCUCUGUAAACCGGUUUGUCAGACAGAUCAUCUGAGUCAGUUGAACCAGCUUGAACCGGUUCAGAGCACUUCACGAUUGAACCAGUUGAACCUCCCAGUUUGCAGCUGACUGGUUUGACUGCAACCAGUCUAUGCACACUCCUACUCCUGUGUGGAGUUUGAAUCAGUAGCCAGUGUUCAACAAACCACACCAUAUCGAAUGAAAUCGAAUGAAUGAAUACACACCAUACAAACCUUCCUCCUCCUAAUUUCCCCAGAAUUUCACUUUAUUGGGCAAUUUUCCAUAUCCAUUUAGAGAUAUGUGGAAAGCUCAUAAAGCUCUUUAGCUUCCCUUGAAAUUCCUGAAGAUAUUUUGCUUUAACAGGACUCUCAAAAUGCACUUUAAAUAUUGGCAAAAUUUGGUGGAAAAGGAAAUGCUCUUGUUAACCUGUCCUCAUUAUACGUUUUCUAAAUGCAUAGGAAGCUCCUUCUUUGAAUUUCUUUGCAUUUUAAAAUAUCCCCUGAGUGUCAUACCAGAUGCAUUAUUUGAAUUUCUCUGUCAGCAGAAGGCAGAUUUGGAGAAGCUAUUUUCUACUGCUUUGGGAAAUUUAGUACAAUCCAAUUUAGUGGAAUAUUUGAGUACUUAGACAAUGUAAAUACCAUAUGAGUGACAUUUGGUGUUAACACUAUAUAAAUAAUAGCUGCCCUGCAAUUACAAACCUAUUUCCUUCAUCACGGCUGAUGUCCUAAGACCGAAAGAACACCAGGGAAGAAAGGAAAACAAUCCAUUUCCUGCAACUUUUCCUGCUGAAUAAUUACUUCCUGUGUUUAUCUGAUAUGUGUUUCCUGUGACCUGUUUCCAUAUGUUUCUCCCUUGUUCGAGAUUUUAAAGGACUCACUGAAAAGAAAAUCUUUGUAUUAGCUUUUGGCAUUUUUCCCUGAAUGUCUCCUUCGACUAUUAUGGUUGCUAAGGACACAGAAUCAAAUUUAAGCUCCUGCUGUAUUUGUUUUUACUGCUAAUAAUCAAGCUGAGGCAUACCCAUGGCUAAUCUCAUGUGUGGCAGCUCUCGCGAGAGUUCGUGAACAAAAGCAUCUGAUUGGGCAGUGGGGAUUCCAUAUGCAGAUAGGAAGGAGGAGCCUGUGAUGGUUAAGCAGGAAAAAGGAAUCCUGAAGGAAAACAAACUUCUUCAAAUGGAGUAUGAAAACAUCCUAACCAAUGAGGAUGAUGUGGAGCCAUUAAUGAGCACCCACUGAGUUAUGUUCAUCCCCACGACAACCCUGUGAGAACUCAUCCCGCUCCACUGCUGCAGCCUUGGAAAAAGUUGUAUGUCAUGGUGGGCCCUGAAAGGGAAGUAAAAGCUAGACAAUGAGAGUGAUUGGGUUGGAAAAGCCCAUGCGCUCCUGUUUUGGGAUGAUAUUCCUAGAAGAGGCCAUCACUAACUGUGCCAGAAAAUCCAUACGUAAAUCUUGCAUGUGUACAUGAGAAAUGAGGAGAUGGAACUGAAGUCACUUUCAUGUGGGAAAAUGAAACACAGCAACUCGUUAUACUGCUGAAAUCUUAGUGUGUCUGAU